GGACAGAAAGACCCUAUGAAGCUUUACUGUAGUUUGGAAUUGGGUUCGGGCUCUUCUUGCGCAGCCUAGGUGGGAGGCUAUGAAGAUAAACUUUUGGGUUUAUUGGAGCCAACAGUGAGAGACCACUCUAGAGGAGCUAGAAUUCUAAUGGCGUUCCUUGAAGCAGGACGCUUGACAGUUUCAGAUGGGCAGUUUGACUGGGGCGGUCACCUCCUAAAAGGUAACGGAGGUGUGCAAAGGUUCCCUCAGGCUGGACGGAAAUCAGCCGUAGAGUGUAAAGGCAGAAGGGAGCUUGACUGCAAGACCUACAAGUCGAGCAGGGGCGAAAGCCGGCCUUAGUGAUCCGACGGUUCCGAGUGGAAGGGCCGUCGCUAAACGGAUAAAAGUUACUCUAGGGAUAACAGGCUGA
Molecule: ribosomal RNA, 409 nt
Filed under: uncultured organism
Description: bacterial LSU rRNA
Rfam family: Bacterial large subunit ribosomal RNA
Source: RNAcentral